GGGCGCCUAGCUCAGUUGGUAGAGCACCGCCCUUACAAGGCGGUGGUCGUCGGUUCGAGUCCGGCGGCGCCCA
This 73-nucleotide transfer RNA is filed under the name Acidimicrobiaceae bacterium. Its description in RNAcentral is "tRNA-Val". It matches the Rfam family "tRNA". Rfam says of the family: Transfer RNA (tRNA) molecules are approximately 80 nucleotides in length. The record is from RNAcentral. Lineage: Bacteria; Bacillati; Actinomycetota; Acidimicrobiia; Acidimicrobiales; Acidimicrobiaceae.